UCAUUUUAAAUAGUUUUUGAUAUUCAAAAAAUACAAAAAUAUUUUCCUAACCUAUUUGAAUGAUGAUGGAUCUAUGAAAAAUAUUCUCAUCAAUUUUUGAAUUGAUUUGAGAUUUAUUUGAGAUUUUAGUUCAAUUAGGUUAUUUUUAUUCAUUUUUAAUUGAUUAAAAAUAGUUUCUGACUUUUAAAAAUGCUGAAAUUUUUUGUCAAACUUUAU
RNAcentral lists this long non-coding RNA (216 nucleotides) under Lathyrus oleraceus (garden pea). Its description in RNAcentral is "Pisum sativum (pea) long non-coding RNA (PSAT_LNC033537)". The record is from RNAcentral. Lineage: Eukaryota; Viridiplantae; Streptophyta; Magnoliopsida; Fabales; Fabaceae.